UCUGCUUUGGGAGCUGAUCAGAUCAGCAUUAUUUAGGCCACACUGAGUCAGGAAAGCUGUGCUGACAGAGCAGUAUCCCUGAGGAGAGCAACCUUUUUUCCUGAGUGAGGAAAAUCUGAGUGUAAUGUGCUGCUAAAUGAGAUGAGCCCCAUAAGGAUUUAACACAAAACCGUGCUUUUUUUUUUUUUUUUUUUUUAAUUGAUUUGUCUUUGGGUAAAGCUCUACAGGUCCUGGGAGCUGAGAGAGAUCCAGAUGUCGAACACCUGCAGGAACUACUUGCAGGGAACUUUCUUCAUUACCCCUCGGUCAUGACUGUGGAAUUUGAGUUUAUUUAACUUGUGGUCACUUAGCAGCACUCCCCACCAGAGAUGAGUCAGAUGCUGUGCCACUCUCCCAAGGGAAUCUGCUGCAGUUGGGAUCAGAAAAUUAAUGUCAUCCAUCUUGGCACAUGAAGCUUAGAACGUUUUUUCCCAUGCCAUUAAGGGAGAAUGUAAGGAGCACCAUUAGCCCCAGUGGCCUUUCACUGCUUGCAGACCAAAAGUGGAGGUGUUAUCCAGAAUUCAAACCACAGGCCUCUGGAUAUCUCCUUCCGCUCCAAAAUUUGCAGUUACAGAAGAGGCCUUCCUUUAAAAGCUGCAAUUACCUGUGUCAGUAACGUGCCAGCAGUCAGCAGGCUCUGCACCAGCUCCUGGGAAUCUCAUGACUGACCACAUCUGGAAGCCUUCCUUUUGACUUCUGCGCUCCCACACAGCAAGUAAAGCUCCCACAGACUGCACGGCCUCAGUGUGGGGCAGCAGGCAGAGAUGGGAAGGGUGGGCACUUGUCACCCAAAGCUUUAUAAGGAAGAGAACUUAAUACUAUUACCCUUUACUGUGCCUUUUUGAGCACUCCCAACUGAUUCCCAGGAUUCUCUCCCAACAAGUGCUUUGUUUAUUUUUCUUGUUCUUUCUUGUUUGUUGUUGUUGUUUUGUUUGUUUGUUUUCUUUUUGCUUGGAUCAAAUUUUAGUUACCAGCUUACUCUGGACAAACAUGCUUGGCCAUGCUCAUUGAUUGUCUUCCCCUUCAGCAGCACUGGCUGACACAGUACUGUCCACAUCAAAGGAGCUCCCCGUGCAGUGGGGAUGCCACCGGGACAUGCUUGCAUGGGAAGAGGGCUGAGUGAGUGCCUACUCGGUGCACACCACACCUGGUGUCACCCUCCUGUGGGGGCUGGCUUUCACCAGCACUGAAGUGGGCUUAGCAGGAGAGCAGCUGAAUUCACUGUGAGGGCUAUCUUCCAUCCAAGAGGCAUUCCACUGGAGCUGGAGAAACUAUUCACAGUGUGGGGACUGCCAAGGCACGCUGGAACGAGGAUAUCAAAAUCUUCUCCUGAACUAUUAUUUCAGUCCUUUCAGUUUUAUAAAGGACAAAAGAAAACCUUACACAUUGCACGGGCAGUCUUAUUAGUCUACUCUGCAAGGUAGAACGUAUUUCAUCCAGGAGUGACAGCUGAGCCCAAAACACCACUUUUCAGAAUUAGCAGGUUUCUUUUGUAGUGCAGCUUGCCAAAUACCAGCUUCCGCACCCAGUCAUGGACAUCAGAGACGUCACAGCAGGGAAAUGACAAAGCAUAAGUGCUGUUUCUUGUACAAGACCAACCUGGACAUUACUUGGUUGAGGAAGCCCUGCACCAGUUAGCUCCAUAACAGCUAUGCUGUACUGUACUUAGCAACAGAGAAUGGCAGCCAAUAGCCACGAUUUCCAGAUUGCUUUGUGCACGUUACCUAUGAGUGCCUAUCAUCCUGUGUUCAACUUGCUAGCUCAGUGCAAUGCUUUCCUGUUCAAUUAAGCAGAUGUCAAGCUGCAGGAGAGUAUUUCUGGAGUUUCUGCUAUAAAUCAUUCAAAUGUGGAAAAGAAGCAGCACCAGCUAGUAUUUGGGUACUCCAUCACAUGCAGCAGUCAGCUGCACAUCCCUUUUGUAGUGGUUGUAAUAAGCUGCUGCUGCAGUUUCACUUAUUCUGUGUUAUGCAUUUCUGUUCUUCCUGAAUUGUCCUUUUCUAUUUAAAAAAGGUGUUUAAUAAAUUCUAAGUAAAUAUGGGAA
Gallus gallus (chicken) is the source of this 2080-nucleotide long non-coding RNA. The record is from Ensembl. Lineage: Eukaryota; Metazoa; Chordata; Aves; Galliformes; Phasianidae.